GCCCGAGUGGCGGAACGGCAGACGCGGUGGACUCAAAAUCCUCUGGGGGUAACCUCGUGAGAGUUCAAAUCUCUCCUCGGGCACCA
RNAcentral lists this transfer RNA (86 nucleotides) under Coriobacteriia bacterium. Its description in RNAcentral is "tRNA-Leu". It matches the Rfam family "tRNA". Rfam says of the family: Transfer RNA (tRNA) molecules are approximately 80 nucleotides in length. Their secondary structure includes four short double-helical elements and three loops (D, anti-codon, and T loops). Further hydrogen bonds mediate the characteristic L-shaped molecular structure. tRNAs have two regions of fundamental functional importance: the anti-codon, which is responsible for specific mRNA codon recognition, and the 3' end, to which the tRNAs corresponding amino acid is attached (by aminoacyl-tRNA synthetases). tRNAs cope with the degeneracy of the genetic code in two manners: having more than one tRNA (with a specific anti-codon) for a particular amino acid; and 'wobble' base-pairing, i.e. permitting non-standard base-pairing at the 3rd anti-codon position. Lineage: Bacteria; Bacillati; Actinomycetota; Coriobacteriia. The record is from RNAcentral.